Molecule: ribosomal RNA, 253 nt
Filed under: uncultured bacterium
Lineage: Bacteria
Description: partial 16S ribosomal RNA
Rfam family: Bacterial small subunit ribosomal RNA
Source: RNAcentral
UACGAAGGGGGCUAGCGUUAUCCGGAAUCAUUGGGCGUAAAGCGCGUGUAGGCGGUUCCGUAAGUCCGCUCUGAAAGCCCAGGGCUCAACCCUGGGAGGCGGGUGGAUACUACGGAACUGGAGUACGGAAGAGGAGAUUGGAAUUCCUGGUGUAGCGGUGAAAUGCGCAGAUAUCAGGAGGAACACCAACAGCGAAGGCGGCUCACUGGCCCGAUACUGACGCUGAUGCACGAAAGCGUGGGGAGCAAACAGG